AGUUAAUACAAGGCUCCAUAAUUUGUAAUUGUAAUACAUAAUAUAUUUAAUACAUAUACAAAACGUGAUGUUUACAACAACGGUACAAUAUUUAGCCGGAUUCAUUUAACUAACUACUGUGCAAAAAAAAAAAAAAAAAAAUUCCUCAGCUAUGUCUGAGCCACUGUGAUGUCACAAAGAAACGUAGAACUUUUAGAACGUUGCGCGUUUAAAGCCGAGCAACGCUCGUCACUUCACUCAUUUAGACUACUCAGUUUGUUGCUGCUCAAGUCUGAUUGAUACACAACAGAAAUUGAUCAUGGGACAGUGUUCUUCACGAGUAGAACCGUUAACGGAGAGCGAGCAGGUCUACGACCUCCCUCACAGUAAACCCCCAAAAUCCAGCCCCGACACGGCAGAGAAACAUCAUCCUCGUCAGCCUGAUGAGAAGCCUGUGGAUGAAGGGGAGGGAAAUGUGCUUCCCACCUCUCCUCCGAAAGAGGAGAACAAGAGGAAUCAAAAGAAAGUGGGCCACUUCUUUAAGUGGCUCUCUUCUCGUUUGAGGAAAAAAAUCCCCAAAAGCAAGAGCUCAGGUCAGGUUGAGAUGAAGGACCAAGGUACUGAGACGGAAACAUCCGGGAGAAUUGACGAUCAGAAGCCUCUACAGCCCAUCUCCAGAUCUGUAGAGGUCACUGAUCUGGAGGAACCUCAUACCAGUGUUCUUCAAGUCCCUCCUACUGCUGAGCCUCUGGUGCAGAAAGACCUCCAAACUCAAGUCCACGAUGCUCCAGUCAGUGUGAGAGCAGGUGAAGUGUCUCCUCUGAUGAUAGAGUUUGACAGUAAUGAAGUGGACAUGAGACCCGAAGACAACAUUUGCUGCCGAUAUGCAAUUGGCAGCAAGCUGGGUCAAGGUGGAUUUGGCGCUGUCUAUAAGGCGACUCGUUUGGAGGAUAGACUUAAGGUGGCAGUGAAAUUUGUCAAAAAGACAAAAAACACGGAAUAUAUCAGCAUUCCUGAUCAUCCCAAGCCCCUUCCCAAAGAAGUCGCCCUGACAAUUCUGGCCAAUAAAGGCCCAGUGAUGGAUAUUAUUAGGCUGCUGGACUGGCAGGACCAGCAGAACUUCUAUGUCAUUGUCGUCCAGCGCUUCUCACACUGCAUGGACGUUUUCCGUUUUGUGCAACGCAAUGGAGGCAGCAUCGACGAGAAGUUAGCGAGGCUCAUCAUGUUUGGGGCAACGCAAGCCGCCAGUGCAUGUUGUCGCCGUGGAGUUUACCAUGGGGACAUUAAAUUAGAGAACCUGCUGAUAAACUUGGAGUACAUCGAAGUCAAGCUAAUUGACUUUGGAUGUGGCAGUCUCCUGACAGAAUCUGCCUACACAAAAUUCAGUGGAACAGCUAUGUACUGCCCUCCCGAGUACAUACUGAAGGGCGAGUUCCAUGGAAAGCCAGCGACGGUCUGGUCUCUAGGGAUCCUCUUGUUCAGAAUGCUGUGUGGACACUUUCCAGAUAGCUUCGACUUCUACAGGACCAACAUGAACACCUGGUCCAAACCUGGCUUGACAGAAGUAUGCUGUCAUUUGAUCUGCUCCCUUCUGCAGCAAAAGCCAGAACGUCGGCUUGAUCUGGACAGGAUUGUUCACCAUGAAUGGUUUUAGGUGGCAGUAAAAUUUGUCAAAAAGUCGAAACGUGUGGAAAGUAUCAGCAUUUCUAAACAUCCCAAGGCCCUUCCCCAAAAAAGCUGACCUAACAAUCCUGGCCAGUAAAGGCCCAGUGAAGGACCAGCAGGACUUCUACAGUUCGUCACAGUCAUCCAGCGUUUCUCACACUGCAUGGAUGCGUUCCACUUUGUGUAACACAAACAGAGGCAGCAUUGAGCAUCCUCUUGUUCAGAAUGCUGUGUGGAUAUAUUCUAGAUGGUUUCAACAUCUUACAGGACCAACAUGAACACCUGGUCCAAACCUGGCUUGACAGAAGGCGAGUUCUUCUCCGCAAGUACA
This is an RNA transcript of Cyprinus carpio (common carp), 1975 nucleotides long. It is a transcript of the gene named serine/threonine-protein kinase pim-2-like, with no coding region annotated. The transcript has 9 exons. Lineage: Eukaryota; Metazoa; Chordata; Actinopteri; Cypriniformes; Cyprinidae. The record is from RefSeq and is a predicted model, not a curated record.